UUUUUUUUUUUUUUUUUUAACCUAUAAAAGGGUUAGAGAAAUUCUGACCAGAUCACCUGUCCCAUCAGAGAAGUGUUACAUUGUCACUGUGUGUUUUGUACAUGUAAAUUGAAGUUUAUUGAAUGUUGUUGUAAAUUGUGUCGAGCAGCUAAUGUUAAUAUGCACUCAUACAAGAGUUCUUAGGAUUAAAUCUCCUUUAAAGUUGAUGCUAAAAUAUGGCAAAAGUCAUUAAAAGUUAAAACAGUUUAUGCCAAAUGUCACAAAAAUACACAAAGUUACAGUUAAGCUCAUUUUGAAAGGGAAAUUGAUUUAGUAAUUUCACAAUCACUGCCUUCAAUUGUGGCUUGUUAAAUGACAUGAGUAAGAGUUCACCUCUAAUGAUCAAUGCUGGAAACAACUGUGAUUCAUCUAAUUACCUCCCAUUGUGACGGUUCUGUAUGAAAAGGAAUGUUUCACAAUUUGGUUUUAAAGUCACAUUGUCUUUUAAGCUCCCCAGUGAUCAGAUGUGCUUUUUUUGUUUUCUUUCUUUGCUCGGUUUCUCUGUAAGUUGGAAAAUGGAGCAGCUGUUUCUCUCACACACACACUCACACUCUUUCACAGAUGUGCAUUCUGUCUCUGUGUAGCUGGAACACGUAUACACUCACAUUUCAUAAAUAAUAAAAGAAAUGAGUGCCAGUUGUUUGGUUAAGGCCAGCAUCUGACUAUAUCAAACAAAACCAUUGAUCCAUCCAACAAAUCUCCCUGUUUUUUUCCCCUGAACACACAGUCCUGCUGUGCUGCCCUUUGAAUCCUCUCUUAAACUCCAUUGAGAUUCAUCUGCUGACAUCUUAAUGGUCACACAGUGAUGCCGCAAAACAAUAUUUCUGCUGAGCUAGCAUAUUAGUAUCAUCUGUAUCAUUAUAGUUAUAAAUUUAUCUAAAUAACAUUCAUAUGUAUUGUUGGAUGGAUUUGAGGAAGUGCUCUGUUCAGCUGUUUCGAUGAGCAGUAUGUUAUGAAAUAUUAAACGGCAGAGCUUGUGUUUGUGGUGCUUUAGCUGAGGCAGUGUAUUGCUGCAAUGUGAACAGUAAAUGAGACUGUAAUGUUUGCACGUGGGACGUGUGCGUCCCUACCUCUGCAUCUGUGCCCCAUGGUUUUUUUUUUUUUGUUCUGUAUGAUUGUGUUUUUGGGCUUGUUCAAGUAUGUUUCAGCUUUUUAAAAUAUAAAAAAAUAUAAAAUAUUUCUUGCAGGAGAUCUUCAUGUAAUCAAAUAAGAAAAGCAGUCUUUAUCACUUUAUUCCUCUAGUCAUGGUGCAGUUUGUCACAUUUUUAAUCUAAAUGUUAACUGAAUAUUUUGCAUUUGUAAUUUCAGAAUUGUAAGAAAUAGAUGACCUGUGAAAACUGACAGACCUGACCAGUGAAGGACAGAUCAAUCUUCCUCUUCAUCUCUUCGUGAAACUGAAAGGGUUAAUGGAUGUCUGAGUGUUUCUAUGACAACACAGAUGAGACUGAUGAGCACAACCGUUUGGAAGAGGCUCUCAGUUCAGAAUCCAAAAAUAACCACACACAAAACAAGCCUAAAGAGAUGGCAAGGGAGGAAGAGGAGGUCAAUUAUUGAUAAAGAAAAUUCUGCCCAGACAUCCAAUCCAGCCCAGUCAGUUAACCUCUGCACACCGACUGCAAUUCAGAUGAAAGUUUCAUACUAAAAUAGACCAUGAUGCUUAACUGCAUACAGCUCAGCAUUUACUUAAUGCACAAAGACAGAUGCAUUAAAUGUUCAUAUGACGUUGCUAAAAAUAAAAUUAUUGUGAAAUUGGGUGUAAUGAAAUGUGUUUAUGCAGUUUAAGGUUCAAAAAACAUUAUUUUUCACAUACUGUAGAUUAAUGUUUCUCCUCUGUGCCCCGCCUUUCUGAAAUGCGCUGAUUUUUACAAAGCUCGUAGUUCUGAAAAGCGAGGUCUAUGCUGAUUGGCCAGAUAUCCAAUGAGUUGCGAUUGGCCGAAUACCUCAAGCUUGUGACGCAAAUGUUACACCCCUUACCAUAUUCUGAUGCCAUAUCCCGACGCGAUGACACAAAAAUAAUAAAAGCCAUUACAAAC
Molecule: long non-coding RNA, 2072 nt
Organism: Carassius carassius (crucian carp)
Lineage: Eukaryota; Metazoa; Chordata; Actinopteri; Cypriniformes; Cyprinidae
Exons: 2
Source: RefSeq, a predicted model, not a curated record